UCUUUUCUUAGUUUCUUUCUCUUGGUGGGAUCUGUAAAAGGGUGCUGCAAGAUACGAGACUUUUUAAUCUCACGCCUUCGCUUAAAAAUGGCAGGAGAUAGAUGGUGAGGUAUGACAUAUACUGAAAACUCGCCCGACAUAGUUGGGGUACCAAACAACUUGGCAAUAUCAAUAACUGGAUCAUCAAUAGAGUAGUCAU
This 199-nucleotide long non-coding RNA is filed under the name Vitis vinifera (wine grape). RNAcentral describes it as "long non-coding RNA (VVIN_LNC004532)". The record is from RNAcentral. Lineage: Eukaryota; Viridiplantae; Streptophyta; Magnoliopsida; Vitales; Vitaceae.